This 601-nucleotide ribosomal RNA is filed under the name Akkermansia muciniphila. Its description in RNAcentral is "bacterial SSU rRNA". It matches the Rfam family "Bacterial small subunit ribosomal RNA", at positions 64 to 686 of the family's 1533-position model. Lineage: Bacteria; Pseudomonadati; Verrucomicrobiota; Verrucomicrobiia; Verrucomicrobiales; Akkermansiaceae. The record is from RNAcentral.
GAACGAGAGAAUUGCUAGCUUGCUAAUAAUUCUCUAGUGGCGCACGGGUGAGUAACACGUGAGUAACCUGCCCCCGAGAGCGGGAUAGCCCUGGGAAACUGGGAUUAAUACCGCAUAGAAUCGCAAGAUUAAAGCAGCAAUGCGCUUGGGGAUGGGCUCGCGGCCUAUUAGUUAGUUGGUGAGGUAACGGCUCACCAAGGCGAUGACGGGUAGCCGGUCUGAGAGGAUGUCCGGCCACACUGGAACUGAGACACGGUCCAGACACCUACGGGUGGCAGCAGUCGAGAAUCAUUCACAAUGGGGGAAACCCUGAUGGUGCGACGCCGCGUGGGGGAAUGAAGGUCUUCGGAUUGUAAACCCCUGUCAUGUGGGAGCAAAUUAAAAAGAUAGUACCACAAGAGGAAGAGACGGCUAACUCUGUGCCAGCAGCCGCGGUAAUACAGAGGUCUCAAGCGUUGUUCGGAAUCACUGGGCGUAAAGCGUGCGUAGGCUGUUUCGUAAGUCGUGUGUGAAAGGCGCGGGCUCAACCCGCGGACGGCACAUGAUACUGCGAGACUAGAGUAAUGGAGGGGGAACCGGAAUUCUCGGUGUAGCAGUGAAA